GCCGGGUGCGGUAGCUCACGCCUGUAAUCCCAGCACUUUGGAGGCCGAGGCAGGUGGAUCACCUGAGGUCAGGAGUUCGAGACCAGCCUGACCAACAUGGUGAAACCCUGUCUCUA
RNAcentral lists this non-coding RNA (116 nucleotides) under Pan troglodytes (chimpanzee). The record is from Rfam by way of RNAcentral. Lineage: Eukaryota; Metazoa; Chordata; Mammalia; Primates; Hominidae.